GCCAAGGGCAGUGGUGUGCACCUGUAGUCCCAGCUACUUAGGAGGCUGAGGCAGGAGGAUCACUUGAGAUCAGGAGCUCUGAGCUGUAGUGCACUGUGCCAAUUGGGUGUCUGCACUAAAUUUGGCAUCAAUAUGGUGACCUCCUGGGAGUCAGGGACCACCAGGUUGCCUGAGGGAGGUGUGAACCUACCCAGGUCAGAACUGGAGCAGAUCAAGACUCUCAUGCUGAUCAGUAGUGGGAUCUCACCUGUGAAUAGCCACUGCAUUCCAGCCUGACCAACACAGACUCCAUCUCA
This 296-nucleotide signal recognition particle RNA is filed under the name Theropithecus gelada (gelada). RNAcentral describes it as "Metazoan signal recognition particle RNA (ENSTGEG00000025199.1)". It matches the Rfam family "Metazoan signal recognition particle RNA". Rfam says of the family: The signal recognition particle (SRP) is a universally conserved ribonucleoprotein. Lineage: Eukaryota; Metazoa; Chordata; Mammalia; Primates; Cercopithecidae. The record is from RNAcentral.